Molecule: ribosomal RNA, 253 nt
Filed under: uncultured bacterium
Lineage: Bacteria
Description: partial 16S ribosomal RNA
Rfam family: Bacterial small subunit ribosomal RNA
Source: RNAcentral
UACGAAGGGGGCUAGCGUUGCUCGGAAUCACUGGGCGUAAAGGGUGCGUAGGCGGGUCUUUAAGUCAGGGGUGAAAUCCUGGAGCUCAACUCCAGAACUGCCUUUGAUACUGAAGAUCUUGAGUUCGGGAGAGGUGAGUGGAACUGCGAGUGUAGAGGUGAAAUUCGUAGAUAUUCGCAAGAACACCAGUGGCGAAGGCGGCUCACUGGCCCGAUACUGCCGCUGAGGCACGAAAGCGUGGGGAGCGAACAGG